AGUCUAAGUACACACUCUUUUGAACCGUAGGAAGCAUUAAUUAAGGGUAGUUUAGUCAAAUUGCCUAAAUGUUUUUAGAAAGGGAAUCGUUUGGGGUACUUUUUGUUUAGAAUUCAUGAUUUUAGGAGAUAAUAUACAAAAUAGAACAAAACUCAUACAUUAAGGACCAUUUUGAUAUUUUAUCUCUGAAAUGUGUCCUCAACAGCAAAAAGUUACUUAUUAUCAGUUCACUCCUUCAAUUUAGGGUUAGCUUUUUUGGAACUUACGAAAGAGGAGAAUAACAACGAUCGAACAAGCAUUGAUUCAGAGUCUUACAGGUGGAUAGCUUAAUUCGAGAAGUUUCUGGAAUAUGCCUGGUGCAUAUCUUGAAGACCUCCAUCAUCUUCAUCCCUAGAUGGAGGUUGAGUGUUAUUUGUUUACUUGAAUAUUGUACUUCCAAUCUUAGUCUCUCCUCUUGUACUAAUCUAUACCAGGUUUUGGGAAGGUUGUUAUGUAUAAGCUACCUUUGUAACUAUUCCGCUUGAUUAUGUUUUAUGUCUUAAUUAUUCAAUAAA
Lycium barbarum (goji berry) is the source of this 554-nucleotide long non-coding RNA. RefSeq lists it as uncharacterized. The record is from RefSeq and is a predicted model, not a curated record. The transcript is spliced from 2 exons. Lineage: Eukaryota; Viridiplantae; Streptophyta; Magnoliopsida; Solanales; Solanaceae.